This 1984-nucleotide long non-coding RNA is filed under the name Canis lupus familiaris (dog). Its description in RNAcentral is "lncRNA (ENSCAFG00845027510.1)". The record is from RNAcentral. Lineage: Eukaryota; Metazoa; Chordata; Mammalia; Carnivora; Canidae.
UUUUUUUUUUUUGGUUUGUUUUUUUGUUUUUUUUUUUUUUUUUUUUUAAUUCUUCUUCCCUUUCUUAAUAUAGUCCUAACUCAUUCAGGCAGUUCAGCUACAAAUCAGAAAAAAACAGCAAUGGGAAUUGAGGUCAGAAGUUUUCAACUCCUUCAAAAAAAUCACAUAAUCAAUGAAUGUACUGAUGCUGGUAAUACCAUUAAAAAUACUGAAAUGCAAUUAAACUCAGAAUCUUUAUCACUUAAAAAUCAACAGUCCAGGUUUCCGAGAUCAGUGCUGAUUUAUAUGUCUACAGUAAGUCUAAAAUAAACUUUCUUAGAGUAUUUUCUACACUUUACAAGUCAAAAUAACUCGAUCUCAAUCUUCUUAAUUAUAGUAAUAUUGUUAGAUUCCAUUUGAUUCUACUAAAAAUAAAUUAACAAAUAACUCUAAAACAUUUUUCCUUCAUGGGCCCCUUAUGUCCUAUUUUAAAAUUUUUAUCAAGCAUCUUCUCUAUGAUAAUUACUAUUUGAAACAGGUGAAUAGAACAUAUAAAAAGAUAGUGGCUACUUAGGGGCUAUCGGCCACAAAACACUAUUAGAAGAGGCAAGUCUCCCUAAUUUCCGUAUUUCUCAGAUGAGGUGAGAAUUACUUACACUAUGUAGAUAUCCAUGCUAGAUACUGAAGGAACGCUAGUGACCAAGGAAAACUACUGUCUUUAAAUUAACUCAAUAAAUUUCCUAAUUGGUGAUGAAGUUUAUACAGGAAAAAUAAAGAAAAUAAUGUCUCAUUAAAAUAUUUUAACUGUUUUAAUAACAUUUAACAAAAAUAGGUAUUACCUCCCCUACCCUAUGAGAGUGAAUGCAUGGUAUCACAUUGUCAUCAUAUGAGUGACUUCAUCAAAAUGAACUUUUGCUCUUCAAAAUCUGUUGAGAAUGACAAGCAAGAGAAUGGCAGAAAAUAUUUCCAAAUCACAUAUCUGACAAAUGACUUGUAUCCAACAUAUCUUAUUCCCACUCAGGCUGCUAUAAUAAAUUACCAUGCACUAAGUGGUUUGUUUGUAUGUUUAUUUAUUUAUACUAAGUGGUUUAAAGAACAUUUAUUUCACACAGUUCUGGAGGCUGUUUAAGAUUUUGGUUCUUAGUGAAGGCCCUCUUCCUGGUUUUCAGAUGGCUAUUUUCUUUUAUCACAUAGCAGAGACAGAGAAAGAAACAAUCUCUCCCCUGUCUCUUCUUAUGAGGGCACUAAUCCCAUCACCAGGGUUCCACCCUCAUUACCUAAAACCUCCCAAAGGCCCCACCCUCUAAAUACCAUCACACUGGGGGUUAAGGUUUCAACAUAAUGAAUUUUGGAAGGAUGCAAACAUGCAGUCCAUAACAAAGAACUCUCAAAAUUCAACAAUAAGAAAACAACCCAAUAAAAAAAGAGCAAAUAUUUGAAUAGAGGCUUCACCAAAAUAGUUAAAUGGAUGACAAAUCAGCAAGUAAAAAAAAAUGUUCCACACAUGAGUAACUAGGGAAAAAAUACAAAUUAAAAAUCAUAAUGAAGUACAACCACACACCUAUUAGAACAUCUGACAUUUUAAAAGGCUGAUAACAAAUGGGGGUGCGGGUACAGGGGAAUUCAUACAAAGUCCAUGGGAACACAAAUGACAAAGCCGCUUAGGAUGACAAUUUGGCAUUUUCUUAAAAAGUUACACCUUUUAAGUUGUAUUUACCAUAUGACACAUCUAUUCCAUAAAGAGGUGUUUACCCAAGAGAGAUAAAAACAUGUAUUUACACAAAAACUUAUACGCAAAUGUUCAUAGCAGCAUUCCUUAUAAUAGUCAAGAAAUGGAAACAGUAUCAAUGUCCAUCAACAGGUAAAUGUAAAUAAAAUGUAGCAUGUCUACAAGGUAUACCUAUCUAAAAGGAACAAAUUACUGACUAACACAACAUGAAGGAAUCAAAGAUCAAAACCAUGAUGUGGAGUGAAAGAAGUGACACCAAAAAAAAAAAAAAAAAAA